Molecule: unclassified non-coding RNA, 348 nt
Filed under: soil metagenome
Description: partial contains 5.8S ribosomal RNA, internal transcribed spacer 2, and large subunit ribosomal RNA
Rfam family: 5.8S ribosomal RNA (bases 1-120)
Source: RNAcentral
GAUGAAGAACGUAGCGAAAUGCGAUAAGUAAUGUGAAUUGCAGAAUUCAGUGAAUCAUCGAGUCUUUGAACGCACAUUGCGCCCCCUGGUAUUCCGGGGGGCAAGCCUGUCCGAGCGUCAUUGCCGCCCUCAAGCACGGCUUGUGUGUUGGGCCCCCGCCCCCCGGCUUCGGGGGGCGGGCCCGAAAGGCAGCGGCGGCACCGCGUCCGGUCCUCGAGCGUAUGGGGCUUCGUCACCCGCUCUGUAGGCCCGGCCGGCGCCCGCCGGCGACCCCAAUCAAUCUUUCCAGGUUGACCUCGGAUCAGGUAGGGAUACCCGCUGAACUUAAGCAUAUCAAUAAGCGGAGGA